This 397-nucleotide long non-coding RNA is filed under the name Monodelphis domestica (gray short-tailed opossum). RNAcentral describes it as "lncRNA (ENSMODG00000047571.1)". Lineage: Eukaryota; Metazoa; Chordata; Mammalia; Didelphimorphia; Didelphidae. The record is from RNAcentral.
GUCCCUUUGUUCAGUCAUUCUUCAGUCAUGACUUACUCUUUGUGACCCCAUGUGGGCAUUUCUUAGCAAAGAUGAUGAAAUGGUUUGCCAUUUUCUUCUCCAGAUCAUUUUACAGAUGAGGAAACUGAGACAAACAAGGCUGAAUGUCUUAUCCAGGGUCAUAUAGCUAAAAUACUCCACUGGAGUGGAUUUUUCUUUCCUCACCCGGGUGGUCUUCUUGGACUCCUUCAUGUCUCUUUCAUGCACCACUUUUCAGGAGAUGCUUCCUACUCAAUUUCAGGGCCAGAAUAUUCACCAAACAAAAUAUGCACUGUGUGGAAGUAUUAUCUUGGGAGUGGCUCGUUGUAUAGCUAGAAAACACAUUGGAUGGAGGCUCAAGAACAAGAAUGCUGAGUAA